Molecule: unclassified non-coding RNA, 337 nt
Filed under: soil metagenome
Description: partial contains 5.8S ribosomal RNA, internal transcribed spacer 2, and large subunit ribosomal RNA
Rfam family: 5.8S ribosomal RNA (bases 1-120)
Source: RNAcentral
GAUGAAGAACGUAGCGAAAUGCGAUAAGUAGUGUGAAUUGCAGAAUUCAGUGAAUCAUCGAAUCUUUGAACGCACAUUGCGCCCUAAAGUAUUCUGUAGGGCAUGCAUGUUCGAGCGUCAUUUGUACCUUCAAGCUUUGCUUGGUGUUGGGUGUUUGUCCUCUCCCUGGUGUUUGGACUCGCCUUAAAACAAUUGGCAGCCAGUGUUUUGGUAUUGAAGCGCAGCACAAUUUGCGAUUCUGGCCUUAAAAUACUAGCGUCCAUAAGUACAUUCUCACUUUUGACCUCGGAUCAUGUAGGGAUACCCGCUGAACUUAAGCAUAUCAAUAAGCGGAGGA